RNAcentral lists this ribosomal RNA (816 nucleotides) under uncultured Oscillatoriales cyanobacterium. RNAcentral's name for it is "bacterial SSU rRNA". It matches the Rfam family "Bacterial small subunit ribosomal RNA", at positions 68 to 925 of the family's 1533-position model. The record is from RNAcentral. Lineage: Bacteria; Bacillati; Cyanobacteriota; Cyanophyceae; Oscillatoriales.
GGGGUGCUUCGGCACCUAGUGGCGGACGGGUGAGUAACGCGUGAGAAUCUGCCCUUAGGACGGGGACAACAGCUGGAAACGGCUGCUAAUACCCGAUGUGCCGAGAGGUGAAACAUUUAUGGCCUGAGGAUGAGCUCGCGUCUGAUUAGCUAGUUGGUGGGGUAAGAGCCUACCAAGGCGACGAUCAGUAGCUGGUCUGAGAGGAUGAUCAGCCACACUGGGACUGAGACACGGCCCAGACUCCUACGGGAGGCAGCAGUGGGGAAUUUUCCGCAAUGGGCGCAAGCCUGACGGAGCAAGACCGCGUGCGGGAGGACGGCCUAUUGGUUGUAAACCGCUUUUGAUAGGGAAGAAGUACUGACGGUACCUAUCGAAUCAGCAUCGGCUAACUCCGUGCCAGCAGCCGCGGUAAUACGGAGGAUGCAAGCGUUAUCCGGAAUUAUUGGGCGUAAAGCGUCCGUAGGUGGUUGUUCAAGUCUGCUGUUAAAGCGUGCGGCUUAACCGCAUACCAGCAGUGGAAACUGGACGACUAGAGUGCGGUAGGGGUCAGGGGAAUUCCCAGUGUAGCGGUGAAAUGCGUAGAUAUUGGGAAGAACACCGGUGGCGAAAGCGCCUGACUGGACCUGCACUGACACUGAGGGACGAGAGCUAGGGGAGCGAAAGGGAUUAGAUACCCCUGUAGUCCUAGCCGUAAACGAUGGACACUAGGUGUUGCCCGUAUCGACCCGGGCAGUGCCGUAGCCCAACGCGUUAAGUGUCCCGCCUGGGGGAGUACGCUCGCAAGAGUGAAACUCAAGGAAUUGACGGGGGCCCGCA